UGGGGAAUAUUGCACAAUGGGCGAAAGCCCGAUGCAGCAACGCCGCGUGAGUGAUGACGGUCUUCGGAUUGUAAAGCUCUGUCUUUGGGGACGAUAAUGACGGUACCCAAGGAGGAAGCCACGGCUACUACGUGCCAGCAGCCGCGGUAAUACGUAGGUGGCAAGCGUUGUCCGGAUUUACUGGGCGUAAAGGGUGCGUAGGCGGACCUUUAAGUGAGAUGUGAAAUCCCCGAGCUUAACUUGGGGGCUGCAUUUCAAACUGGAGGUCUAGAGUGCAGGAGAGGAGAGUGGAAUUCCUAGUGUAGCGGUGAAAUGCGUAGAGAUUAGGAAGAACGCCAGUGGCGAAGGCGACUCUCUGGACUGUAACUGACGCUGAGGCACGAAAGCGUGGGGAGCAAACAG
RNAcentral lists this ribosomal RNA (402 nucleotides) under uncultured bacterium. Its description in RNAcentral is "bacterial SSU rRNA". It matches the Rfam family "Bacterial small subunit ribosomal RNA", at positions 355 to 775 of the family's 1533-position model. The record is from RNAcentral.